RNAcentral lists this ribosomal RNA (404 nucleotides) under Verrucomicrobiota bacterium. Its description in RNAcentral is "Verrucomicrobia bacterium partial 16S ribosomal RNA". It matches the Rfam family "Bacterial small subunit ribosomal RNA", at positions 355 to 776 of the family's 1533-position model. Lineage: Bacteria; Pseudomonadati; Verrucomicrobiota. The record is from RNAcentral.
UGGGGAAUAUUGCACAAUGGGCGCAAGCCUGAUGCAGCAACGCCGCGUGAACGAUGAAGGUCUUCGGAUCGUAAAGUUCUGUUGCAGGGGAAGAUAAUGACGGUACCCUGUGAGGAAGCCCCGGCUAACUACGUGCCAGCAGCCGCGGUAAUACGGAAGGUUCGGGCGUUAUCCGGAUUUAUUGGGUUUAAAGGGAGCGUAGGCCGUUUGGUAAGCGUGUUGUGAAAUGUAGGAGCUCAACUUCUAGAUUGCAGCGCGAACUGUCAGACUUGAGUGCGCACAACGUAGGCGGAAUUCAUGGUGUAGCGGUGAAAUGCUUAGAUAUCAUGAAGAAAUCCGAUUGCGAAGGCAGCUUACGGGAGCGCAACUGACGCUGAAGAUCGAAGGUGCGGGUAUCGAACAGG